This 406-nucleotide ribosomal RNA is filed under the name uncultured bacterium. RNAcentral describes it as "partial 16S ribosomal RNA". It matches the Rfam family "Bacterial small subunit ribosomal RNA", at positions 28 to 526 of the family's 1533-position model. The record is from RNAcentral.
GUCGAACGCUGGCGGCAGGCCUAACACAUGCAAGUCGAACGAGUGGCGGACGGGUGAGUAAUGUCUGGGAAACUGCCCGAUGGAGGGGGAUAACUACUGGAAACGGUAGCUAAUCCCGCAUCCCAUCGGCUGUGCCCAGAUGGGAUUAGCUAGUAGGUGGGGUAACGGCUCACCUAGGCGACGAUCCCUAGCUGGUCUGAGAGGAUGACCAGCCACACUGGAACUGAGACACGGGCCAGACUCCUACGGGAGGCAGCAGUGGGGAAUAUUGCACAAUGGGCGCAAGCCGGAUGCAGCCAUGCCGCGUGUAUGAAGAAGGCCUUCGGGUUGUAAAGCACUUUCAGCGAGGAGGCGUGACUCGCAGAAGAAGCACCGGCUAACUCCGUGCCAGCCGCCGCGGUAAUAC